GAUGAACGCUGGCGGCGUGCCUAAUACAUGCAAGUCGAGCGAACAGACGAGGAGCUUGCUCCUUUGAUGUUAGCGGCGGACGGGUGAGUAACACGUAGGUAACCUACCUAUAAGACUGGGAUAACUUCGGGAAACCGGAGCUAAUACCGGAUAAUAUUUCGAACCGCAUGGUUCGAUAGUGAAAGAUGGCUUUGCUAUCACUUAUAGAUGGACCUGCGCCGUAUUAGCUAGUUGGUAAGGUAACGGCUUACCAAGGCAACGAUACGUAGCCGACCUGAGAGGGUGAUCGGCCACACUGGAACUGAGACACGGUCCAGACUCCUACGGGAGGCAGCAGUAGGGAAUCUUCCGCAAAGGGCGAAAGCCUGACGGAGCAACGCCGCGUGAGUGAUGAAGGUCUUCGGAUCGUAAAACUCUGUUAUUAGGGAAGAACAAACGUGUAAGUAACUGUGCACGUCUUGACGGUACCUAAUCAGAAAGCCACGGCUAACUACGUG
This 497-nucleotide ribosomal RNA is filed under the name uncultured bacterium. RNAcentral's name for it is "partial 16S ribosomal RNA". It matches the Rfam family "Bacterial small subunit ribosomal RNA", at positions 28 to 507 of the family's 1533-position model. The record is from RNAcentral.